This 482-nucleotide ribosomal RNA is filed under the name uncultured bacterium. RNAcentral describes it as "bacterial SSU rRNA". It matches the Rfam family "Bacterial small subunit ribosomal RNA", at positions 25 to 518 of the family's 1533-position model. The record is from RNAcentral.
CAGGAUGAACGCUGGCGGCGCGCUAACACAUGCAAGUCGAACGGUUAAAGCACCUCCGGGUGUGCAUAAAGUGGCGAACGGCUGAGUAACACGUGGGCAACCUGCCCCCCGCACCGGGAUAGCCUCGGGAAACCGUGGGUAAUACCCGGAUACUCCGCCACCCCCGCAUGGGGGAGGCGGGAAAGCGUACACGGCGGGGGAUGGGCCCGCGGCCUGUUAGCUCGUUGGCGGGGUAACGGCCCACCAAGGCGAUUAUGGGUAGCCGGGUUGAGAGACCGACCGGCCAGAUUGGGACUGAGACACGGCCCAGACUCCUACGGGAGGCAGCAGUGGGGAAUCUUGCACAAUGGGCGAAAGCCUGAUGCCAGCGACGCCGCGUGCGGGAAGAAGGCCCUCGGGUUGUAAACCGCUUUCAGCAGGGACGAGGCGCAAGUGACGGUACCUGCAGAAGAAGCCCCGGCUAACUACGUGCCAGCCGCAGC